CUUCACAUCACCAUAUCUCCCAUACAUGCCCUCGAAUUUAUGCACCAUUGAUUAAUGUUAUAAUCUAUCUAAGGUCUUUGAUUUAAACUGCAUCCAAUCCAAUUCCAAGAGAAUAUCUUCACAUCCUCCAUCAUUUUUUCAUUGCUUACUCUUUUAUUAUGGAAACAGUUAUCGUUCCCUGCUUUCCAAAUACCGGCAAAUCAAAUCACACUUAUGCACGUUGAGAUUGCUUUUUCGUUGCUUAGCAAGCCUCCGAACUA
This 260-nucleotide long non-coding RNA is filed under the name Medicago truncatula (barrel medic). Its description in RNAcentral is "lncRNA gene39128". The record is from RNAcentral. Lineage: Eukaryota; Viridiplantae; Streptophyta; Magnoliopsida; Fabales; Fabaceae.